GCUGUGGUAGCUCAGUGGUAGAGCACACCCUUGGUAAGGGUGAGGUCGAGAGUUCGAUCCUCUCUCACAGCACCA
RNAcentral lists this transfer RNA (75 nucleotides) under Sulfitobacter sp. SK011. RNAcentral's name for it is "tRNA-Thr". It matches the Rfam family "tRNA". From Rfam's summary of the family: Transfer RNA (tRNA) molecules are approximately 80 nucleotides in length. Lineage: Bacteria; Pseudomonadati; Pseudomonadota; Alphaproteobacteria; Rhodobacterales; Roseobacteraceae. The record is from RNAcentral.